Molecule: long non-coding RNA, 610 nt
Filed under: Marmota monax (woodchuck)
Lineage: Eukaryota; Metazoa; Chordata; Mammalia; Rodentia; Sciuridae
Source: RNAcentral
CUUUGUGCCUCUAUGUUGCUAAGGUUGGCUUUGAACUCACAAUCCUCCUGCCUCUGCCUCCUGAGCCAUAAGGAUUACAGGUGUGCACCUCCACACCUGACUUCUAUCAUUGUUUUAAGGUAACAAUUUCAAAAGUGUAUCAUGGGCUGGGAUUGUGGCUCAGUGAUAGAGUGCUCGCCUAGUAUGUUCGAGGCCCUGGGUUUGAUCCUUAGCACCACAUAAAAAUAAAUAAAAUAUCAGUAUUGUGUCCAACUACAAUUUUUAAAAAAAUUAAUAUUUAAAAAAAUAAAAAAAAAAAUUCUAGAGUGACCAAGCAAUGGUGUUUGAAUUUUAUGAGGAAAAUCUUCCGAUCUUCAGAUCCCCAUUUGCUAUAAAACUGAGAAAAUACCAAAGAAAAAGUACUCUGAUUUAAGUAUUCUGUUUGACAUAAUAAUAAAACAAAAUAUUUAUUUUUUUUAGAAAGUAAAUUAGAGUACUAAGGUUAGGGUGACAGGAGAAUUUGUUUUUGUGGUAUACCCUUUAACCCUCUUCAAGUAGUUUAAUAUGAUAUAUAUUGAUUUUCAAAUAUAAUAAUUAAAUGGGCUUUUCAAUCUUUAAUGUCAAAAAAGAA